This 253-nucleotide ribosomal RNA is filed under the name uncultured bacterium. RNAcentral describes it as "partial 16S ribosomal RNA". It matches the Rfam family "Bacterial small subunit ribosomal RNA", at positions 524 to 776 of the family's 1533-position model. The record is from RNAcentral.
UACGAAGGGGGCUAGCGUUGCUCGGAAUCACUGGGCGUAAAGCGCACGUAGGCGGGUCCUUAAGUCGGUGGUGAAAUCCUGGAGCUCAACUCCAGAACUGCCUCCGAUACUGAGGGCCUCGAGUCCGGGAGAGGUGAGUGGAACUGCGAGUGUAGAGGUGAAAUUCGUAGAUAUUCGCAAGAACACCAGUGGCGAAGGCGGCUCACUGGCCCGGUACUGACGCUGAGGUGCGAAAGCGUGGGGAGCAAACAGG